CAGUGGGAAUAUAUGAAGUGGAUUUACCUCUGCAAAGAGUUUCGUCUCUUUUCCCUCUGAUGAUUGCGCAUAUGCCCACGAGUAAUGAGUUAAUUUGUUAGUGUUAUGAUAUAAUAUAUGGAGACGUAUAGACACACAUAUACUAACAACCAAUAUAUCAUAUAUAGAUAAUUAAUUAGCAUACGUGUUUAAUUUGCUGUUUAUUGCAAAACAUCAACUUGGUUGACAUGUAUUGUCAAUUUCCUCACAUCGGUUUAAUGAUACAUACAGAUUGGCAUACGAUGAUAAAAGCAUAACAAAAGUGGACGAAUCGAAGAUAAACACGGAAAUAAACAUUUUAUGCCAACCGAGGAUGAUGAAAAUAAAACCUUAAUUUGAUUGACUUGCAUAUAUAUAUAUAUAUAUAUAUAUAUAUAUAUAUAUAUAUAUAUAUAUAUAUAUAUAUAUGUUUACCUCUGUACAAUGCCUUAGCGUAUACAUGGGAACGCCUCUUUUUUAAUUUUCUCCACCCCUUCUAUCUCACAAAGAGAAAAUGUGAAGUGGGCAAAUUCCAUAAAACCAGAAAAGAAAUAUUAAAACAUAAUAUUAUAAAAAUAUAAUAUAAUGAAGCAUAUUAUGGGUUGAUUAUAAUUGUAUAUUCUAAAGAGAUAUUUACGAUGGAUUUAGGAUCAUGAGCUCUGAGGCAGUGACGAGGCAUCUCAUUACUUCAACUUGAGCUCGCAGUGAUUGUACAUAAUCUAGGGUUUCCUCCACCAGAGACACAUCGUCCAUGAAUUCUCCUCCUGGUAAGAGACUCUUCAGCCUCCGCGUUCUCUUCUGGACCAGCUUUCUCGCAAUGAAACUCGCCACCACCCUAUCCUUUGGUAUGUGGACCGCGCGGUUUCUUCUCAAGCUCUUUCUGCAGCUUCUGAUCCUUCUGCUGUGGGAAUAAUUGGUAGAGCUUUUCCUUACCGGUGGUGAUGAGCCUAGCACGUGUUCCGUGAGGACUUUGUUGUUGCUAUUUUUGGAAGCAUUGGCUAUGAGGGCCUUGCUCCAGCGAGUGGUUUUGUUUCUGGUGGAAGCCAUGGCCAAAUCUGCUGACAGCUUUAUGGCUUUCUUUCUCUCCAACAGACUCAUGUUCUUCUUUUGAGAGCGAUAUUUUCUGAGACCCCAUAUCCACUUUUUGAGGAAUUCUUGCUUCACGGUGUUGAUAUUUCGCAUUCUGUUUGGACUUGAUGAAAUUGUUGAAAGAAAUAGUAGAAGAUGAAGAGAAAGAAAUAAGAGUAAGAUUUGAUGAGUGACGUUGCAGUGUUACAGAUGGAAGCAAAGUGGUAUAUGAUGAGGAUCUGAGAGAGAGAGAGAGAAGAGCUGGGAAGAGGAAGAGUGAGAAGAGAAGGAAUUUAUGUGUUCGAAAGAUGAGAAUGGUGGGGCUUAGAGAGAAAGACACAGCACAUGCUGGCACAUGGAGUCCCUGG
RNAcentral lists this small RNA (1454 nucleotides) under Vigna angularis var. angularis. Its description in RNAcentral is "Non-protein coding transcript". Lineage: Eukaryota; Viridiplantae; Streptophyta; Magnoliopsida; Fabales; Fabaceae. The record is from RNAcentral.